This 301-nucleotide ribosomal RNA is filed under the name uncultured bacterium. Its description in RNAcentral is "partial 16S ribosomal RNA". It matches the Rfam family "Bacterial small subunit ribosomal RNA", at positions 509 to 807 of the family's 1533-position model. The record is from RNAcentral.
CAGUCGCCGCGGUAAUACCGAGGGUGCAAGCGUUAAUCGGAAUUACUGGGCGUAAAGCGCGCGUAGGUGGUUUGUUAAGUUGGAUGUGAAAUCCCCGGGCUCAACCUGGGAACUGCAUCCGAAACUGGCAGGCUAGAGUAGGGCAGAGGGUGGUGGAAUUUCCUGUGUAGCGGUGAAAUGCGUAGAUAUAGGAAGGAACACCAGUGGCGAAGGCGACCACCUGGGCUCAUACUGACACUGAGGUGCGAAAGCGUGGGGAGCAAACAGGAUUAGAUACCCCUGUAGUCCCUGUCUCUUAUAC